Molecule: unclassified non-coding RNA, 376 nt
Filed under: uncultured Actinomycetes bacterium
Lineage: Bacteria; Bacillati; Actinomycetota; Actinomycetes
Description: uncultured actinobacterium contains 16S-23S intergenic spacer region
Source: RNAcentral
UCCGAGUUGACCCCGGCAGUCUUCGAUGAGUCCCCGGCAUAACCCGCUGGCAACAUCGAACGAGGGUUGCGCUCGUUGCGGGACUUAACCCAACAUCUCACGACACGAGCUGACGACAGCCAUGCACCACCUGUGAACGCCCCCGAAGGACACCGUAUCUCUACGGCUUUAGCGCACAUGUCAAACCCAGGUAAGGUUUUUCGCGUUGCAUCGAAUUAAUCCACAUAAUCCACCGCUUGUGCGGGUCCCCGUCAAUUCCUUUGAGUUUUAGCCUUGCGGCCGUACUCCCCAGGCGGGGUGCUUAAUGCGUUAGCUUCGGCACGGGGGGAGUCGACACCCCCCACACCUAGCACCCAUCGUUUACGGCGUGGACUAC